UACGGAGGGUGCAAGCGUUAUUCGGAUUUAUUGGGCGUAAAGGGCGCGCAGGCGGCCCGUUAAGUCAGAUGUGAAAGCCCCCGGCUUAACCGGGGAAGUGCAUUUGAAACUGGCAGGCUUGAGUAUGGGAGAGGAAAUCGGAAUUCCUGGUGUAGCGGUGAAAUGCGUAGAUAUCAGGAGGAACACCGGUGGCGAAAGCGGAUUUCCGGACCAAUACUGACGCUGAGGCGCGAAGGUGCGGGGAGCAAACAGG
This 253-nucleotide ribosomal RNA is filed under the name uncultured bacterium. RNAcentral's name for it is "partial 16S ribosomal RNA". It matches the Rfam family "Bacterial small subunit ribosomal RNA", at positions 524 to 776 of the family's 1533-position model. The record is from RNAcentral.